GAGCUAUUCUCACACCAGGCUAUCAAACAGUGUGCAAUAGCUUUCGAUUUCACACAAAUAGGUUGUCACUUGUGUUGAUUAAAGCUCACUUCACUUGUGCUUCUUCGUCUAGGGGAGUUCUCAAAAGCUGCAUCUGAACUCAUCAUUUGCUGUAAGAAGACCUUUUCAACUUCUGAUCUUCCUGAGUCCUCAGGAGAAGAUGAUGUGAAGGUUGAUGAUGCCCCUAAAUUGAUGGACGUUCUUUAAUGAUCCAGAUGCAGCAAGUGCAAAUGAUGAUGAAUUAAGUUCAAUUUCAGGCUACAAGUGAGUUUGUCUAUCAUGAAA
This is a long non-coding RNA of Glycine soja, 324 nucleotides long. RefSeq lists it as uncharacterized. NCBI's taxonomy places the organism in Eukaryota, Viridiplantae, Streptophyta, Magnoliopsida, Fabales, Fabaceae. The record is from RefSeq and is a predicted model, not a curated record. The transcript has 3 exons.